RNAcentral lists this ribosomal RNA (659 nucleotides) under Fusarium oxysporum. RNAcentral describes it as "SSU rRNA". It matches the Rfam family "Bacterial small subunit ribosomal RNA", at positions 345 to 948 of the family's 1533-position model. RNAcentral also lists the same sequence under 1 other name. The record is from RNAcentral. Lineage: Eukaryota; Fungi; Ascomycota; Sordariomycetes; Hypocreales; Nectriaceae.
GUGGCAGUCUUCCAGUAUGGGGAGCAAAACAGCUAUGGGUCAAGUCCGAUAUCUUUAGGAGAAGUCUUAUUGUGAGGGCGAGUUAUAUAACACCAUAGGACUGGCCGUCCCAUAUGAAAAGAUUAUAUUAGAAUUGAAUGAAGCUUUGUUUAUAUAUUGAUAAUGACAGUAUAUAUAUCGUGUCUUGACUAAUUGCGUGCCAGCAGUCGCGGUAAUACGUAAGAGACUAGUGUUAUUCAUCUUAAUUAGGUUUAAAGGGUACCCAGACGGUCAAUAUAGCUUAUAAAAUGUUAGUACUUGACUAGAGUUUUAUGUAAGAGGGCAGUACUUGAGGAGGAGAGAUGAAAUUUCGUGAUACCAAAGGGACUCUGUAAAGGCGAAGGCAGCCCUCUAUGUAAAAACUGACGUUGAAGGACGAAGGCACAGAGAACAAACAGGAUUAGAUACCCAAGUAGUCUUUGCAGUAAAUGAUGAAUGCCAUAGGUUAGAUUGGUCAAUUAUAGUCUAGGGUUAGUCUAGCAAACUAAUACCCUAUGCUAUAAUCCUAAUAUCUGGUCUAUAAAUGAAAGUGUAAGCAUUUCACCUCAAGAGUAAUGUGGCAACGCAGGAACUGAAAUCACUAGACCGUUUCUGACACCAGUAGUGAAGUAUGUUAUUUA